CAGGAGACCUACGAACACGGUCACCGCUACACCUACCCCACCUGCUCCACAAGCUCCACAUGCUCAGUGAAUGGAGGCAGUGUCAGGACAACGAUUCUGCACCACACUCAUCUGUAUUGCAAGAGGUUCUCCUAGCUGUAGCUGCCGCUUUUCAGCAAACUUAAGGAGCUGCUCAAUGGUGAUGCUGCGGAUAUCAACCUCCUCCUGCAGCCCCUGGCGCUCCUGUAAUAAGGCCACCAGCUCCUGCGAUGCAUCUGAAAACACCACACCAUAAGAAUCAGAUUUCCAAAAACUGUAGUGAUAAUUAAUAAAAGCUAGACUGUAUUGGUAAAAAGAGGCAAGUACAAUGGAGACUCAA
Long non-coding RNA from Portunus trituberculatus (swimming crab), 358 nucleotides. RefSeq lists it as uncharacterized. NCBI's taxonomy places the organism in Eukaryota, Metazoa, Arthropoda, Malacostraca, Decapoda, Portunidae. The transcript has 2 exons. The record is from RefSeq and is a predicted model, not a curated record.